AACCCCAUGAAAUUUGAUUGAGUUGUGUGAACGAUAAAAAUGUUGUUUUUAAACCCAUGAAAUUUGAUUGAAUUAUGUGAAUGAUGAAAAUUUUGUUGUUGUUAAAUUCAUAAAAUUUGAUUGAAUUGUGUGAAUGAUGAAAAUGUUGAUGUUAAACCAAUGAAAUUUGAUAGAAUUGUGUGAACAUUGAAAAUGUUGUUGUUGUUGAACCCAUGAAAUUUGAUUGAAUUGUAUGAAUGAUGAAAAUGUUGUUGUUGUUAAACCCAUGAAAUUUGAUUGAAUUGUGUGAAUGAUGAAAAUGUUGUUGUUAAACUCAUAAAAUUUGAUUGAAUUGUAUGAAUGAUGAAAAUGUUGUCGUUAAAGCCGUGAAAUUUGAUUGAAUUCUGUAAGGACGAAAAUGUUAUUUUUAAACCGAUAGAAUUUGAUUGAAUUAUGUGAAUGAUAAAAAUGUUGUUGUUGAACCCAUGAAAUUUGAUUGAAUUUUAUGAAUGAUGAAAAUGUUGUUGUUGUUAAACCCAUGAAAUUUCAUUGAAUUGUGUGAAUGAUGAAAAUGUUGUUACUAAACUCAUAAAAUUUGAUUGAAUUGUAUGAAUGAUGAAAAUGUUAUCGUUAAACCGUGAAAUUUGAUUGAAUUCUGAAAAGGAUGAAAAUGUUAUUUUUAAACCGAUAGAAUUUGAUUGAAUUAUGUGAAUGAUAAAAAUGUUGUUGUUAAACCCAUGAAAUUUGAUUGAAUUGUGGGAAUGAUUAAAAUGUUCCUGUUAAACCCAUGGAAUUUGAUUGAAUUUUGUGAAUGAUGAUAAUAUUGUAGUUAAACCCAUGAAAUUUGAUUUAGUUGUGUGAACGAUAAAAAUGUUGUUCUUAAACCCUUGAAAUUUGAUUGAAUUGUGUGAAUGAUGAAAAUGUUGUUGUUGUUAAAUCCAUG
RNAcentral lists this long non-coding RNA (922 nucleotides) under Lathyrus oleraceus (garden pea). RNAcentral describes it as "Pisum sativum (pea) long non-coding RNA (PSAT_LNC040820)". Lineage: Eukaryota; Viridiplantae; Streptophyta; Magnoliopsida; Fabales; Fabaceae. The record is from RNAcentral.